Molecule: ribosomal RNA, 253 nt
Filed under: uncultured bacterium
Lineage: Bacteria
Description: partial 16S ribosomal RNA
Rfam family: Bacterial small subunit ribosomal RNA
Source: RNAcentral
UACAGAGGUCUCAAGCGUUGUUCGGAUUCAUUGGGCGUAAAGGGUGCGUAGGCGGCUCGGUAAGUCGGGUGUGAAAUCUCGGAGCUUAACUCCGAAACUGCAUUCGAUACUGCCGUGCUUGAGGCCUGGAGAGGAGACUGGAAUUUACGGUGUAGCGGUGAAAUGCGUAGAUAUCGUAAGGAAGACCAGUGGCGAAGGCGGGUCUCUGGACAGUUCCUGACGCUGAGGCGCGAAGGUCAGGGGAGCAAACGGG